RNAcentral lists this long non-coding RNA (611 nucleotides) under Homo sapiens (human). RNAcentral's name for it is "HSALNT0114319". The record is from RNAcentral. Lineage: Eukaryota; Metazoa; Chordata; Mammalia; Primates; Hominidae.
GGAAGGAGGAUUUCACCUACUCAGCCGCCUGUCGUCAUCUGUCAACUUUCUACCCAUUCAUCACCUAGCCUGUCACACUUGACAUAAGCUUCUGAAGGGAUGGGCGAAAGGGAGGCAGGAGAGACUGGAUAAAUGUCUUCAUGAUCAUCUUUAGCAAUGUCAGGAGCUCAGCACUCUCAGUAUUUUAGACUUGCCUGUGACAGCUUUUCCACUAGCACUGAAGCUGCAUUCCAAAUUGAUAUUUGUGGUGGUGUGGAUUCUGGGCUAGAGCAGUGCCUUAGGCAAGCCAAAUUCUGCAGUUUGAUACCAGUAAACAAUAUGAUCUCUCUUUGUGUUUAUGUGGAUGUGCUGGAGUGGAAUGAAGGGAGGAUAACUUCAAAUGACAGUUGCCACAGCUGAAGAGAUGCUUUCACUCAUGAAACAAAUAAGCAAGCAGGAUGCCAUCCAUGAAGAUGAUGCUUCUGACUCACUGUAAAAAUAAAAAAAUACGUAUACUAUGAGGUGUUUCCUCUUUAUUGACAUCUACCUGAUCAGCCCAUUUGUGACCAACAAAUGCAAUUAUGAGGUGAGACAGCUGAUGGAGAAAGAGGUGAGAUGCCAGUAAGACGGGA